CCAUCCACCGGAAGUCAUGCAUCUUCAGAGAUUGAAAAUGUCGGGGAAGUCCAGCGGGCAGGAAUUCUCUUCUUCCGAAUCAUGCUGCUCGAGCUACAGGAAAGCAUCCAACUACUCAAUUCCACGGACUUUGUGUCACUGUUGCUCUAUGACCAUACUCUUCCAACAAAACCAAAUUCUCCUCAAGACAGCAAAUCGAUGGAGUUGGAAGCCAACGUGAAACUAGUGCGUGACAUCCUGAAGGCGGUUAUCUUGUUCUUUCAUCCAGAGUUGGAAUUUUCAACUGACUUUGGAAGUUGGGAUAAGUGUAAAUU
RNAcentral lists this small RNA (314 nucleotides) under Pongo abelii (Sumatran orangutan). RNAcentral's name for it is "processed transcript". Lineage: Eukaryota; Metazoa; Chordata; Mammalia; Primates; Hominidae. The record is from RNAcentral.